AUGAAGCUGGAGCUUGCUCUGGUGGAUUAGUGGCGAACGGGUGAGUAACACGUGAGUAACCUGCCCUUGACUCUGGAAUAAGCGUUGGAAACGACGUCUAAUACUGGAUACGAGCUUCAGCCGCAUGGCUAGGAGUUGGAAAGAAUUUCGGUCAAGGAUGGACUCGCGGCCUAUCAGGUAGUUGGUGAGGUAAUAGCUCACCAAGCCUACGACGGGUAGCCGGCCUGAGAGGGUGACCGGCCACACUGGAACUGAGACACGGUCCAGACUCCUACGGGAGGCAGCAGUGGGGAAUAUUGCACAAUGGGCGAAAGCCUGAUGCAGCAACGCCGCGUGAGGGACGACGGCCUUCGGGUUGUAAACCUCUUUUAGUAGGGAAGAAGCGAAAGUGACGGUACCUGCAGAAAAAGCACCGGCUAACUACGUGCCAGCAGCCGCGGUAAUACGUAGGGUGCAAGCGUUAUCCGGAAUUAUUGGGCGUAAAGAGCUCGUAGGCGGUUUGUCGCGUCUGCUGUGAAAACUGGAGGCUCAACCUCCAGCCUGCAGUGGGUACGGGCAGACUAGAGUGCGGUAGGGGAGAUUGGAAUUCCUGGUGUAGCGGUGGAAUGCGCAGAUAUCAGGAGGAACACCGAUGGCGAAGGCAGAUCUCUGGGCCGUAACUGACGCUGAGGAGCGAAAGCAUGGGGAGCGAACAGGAUUAGAUACCCUGGUAGUCCAUGCCGUAAACGUUGGGAACUAGAUGUAGGGACCAUUCCACGGUUUCUGUGUCGCAGCUAACGCAUUAAGUUCCCCGCCUGGGGAGUACGGCCGCAAGGCUAAAACUCAAAGGAAUUGACGGGGGCCCGCACAAGCGGCGGAGCAUGCGGAUUAAUUCGAUGCAACGCGAAGAACCUUACCAAGACUUGACAUAUACGAGAACGGGCUAGAAAUAGUUCACUCUUUGGACACUCGUAAACAGGUGGUGCAUGGUUGUCGUCAGCUCGUGUCGUGAGAUGUUGGGUUAAGUCCCGCAACGAGCGCAACCCUCGUUCUUUGUUGCCAGCACGUAAUGGUGGGAACUCAAAGGAGACUGCCGGGGUCAACUCGGAGGAAGGUGGGGAUGACGUCAAAUCAUCAUGCCCCUUAUGUCUUGGGCU
This 1136-nucleotide ribosomal RNA is filed under the name Salinibacterium sp. Its description in RNAcentral is "bacterial SSU rRNA". It matches the Rfam family "Bacterial small subunit ribosomal RNA", at positions 66 to 1215 of the family's 1533-position model. Lineage: Bacteria; Bacillati; Actinomycetota; Actinomycetes; Micrococcales; Microbacteriaceae. The record is from RNAcentral.